UACAGAGGGUGCGAGCGUUAAUCGGAAUUACUGGGCGUAAAGCGUGCGUAGACGGUUAUGUAAGUCGGGUGUGAAAGCCCCGGGCUCAACCUGGGAAUUGCAUUCGAGACUGCAUAGCUAGGAUGCGGAAGAGGGAAGCGGAAUUUCCGGUGUAGCGGUGAAAUGCGUAGAUAUCGGAAGGAACAUCAGGGGCGAAAGCGGCUUCCUGGUCCAGCAUCGACGUUCAGGCACGAAAGCGUGGGGAGCAAACAGG
RNAcentral lists this ribosomal RNA (253 nucleotides) under uncultured bacterium. Its description in RNAcentral is "partial 16S ribosomal RNA". It matches the Rfam family "Bacterial small subunit ribosomal RNA", at positions 524 to 776 of the family's 1533-position model. The record is from RNAcentral.